GAAUGGCUCCCGAAAGAUUGUUGUGGCCGAGGAAGAGAUGUGUGAGAGAAGGGAGUCUAACCAGGGAGCCUGGAAUGCCGCCGGAGAACUGGUUGAAGCUCAAGUCGAGAUGAGUUAGAUUGACAAAUCUUUCAUCGAGCUCAGGUUCCGGAAGAUGGACAGGCUCAAGUUCCCGGAAAAAUGGUUGUUAAAGGCUCUCAAAGUCUCGAGGCGUGUCAAGCUGGCCACGGCCUCGAUGCCACCUUCCAAGCUGUUCACUUGAAUUCCCAGCUCCACGAGGCUUGUCAUACCUCCGAAAGAGCUUGGGAUUGGCCCGGUCAAGUUGGUGUUAUCCAGGUAAAGCUGCUCCAAGCUGCUCAAGCUCCCGAGCUCCUCCGGAAUGGUUCCGAGGUUCCCUGCACCUCCAGCCAUCCCGAGCUUCUUGAGCCGUGUCAGCCGGAUUCCGAUGCAGCGAGGAAUCGGGCCUUACGGAAUCGGGGAGAGAACCACUCAACACUCGCAUGAUGGAAUUGGAGUCGAGAGACACUCCGACGAUGGUGGACGAGUUUGCGGAGGAGGAGUCUGGACAAAGGGUGCUUUCAAACGGACUGUAGAUGGAGGAACAGCAGGGAUCCGUGCUCGUGUUCCAGACCGUGGCCGGCACUCCUAGGGCGGAGGCAAUGUCUCUGAUAGCCGAGAUCUCCGCUGUAGACGCUGCCAGAAGCGAAUCCAGGAACAUCCACUGUAAGGCGACAAACAUCAAAGCUCUUGCCAUGGGAAAGAGUGAGAAUGGAUGAGGAAGAAGGAAGAGCAGGAAGACUGUCAAACUUGACGUCGCCAAAACCUUUGUCAAGAUAAUGAAACGUCAUUGGAAGACAAAGAGGAAUAUAGAGCCAAGGAUUUGGUAACAUAAAGAAGGCUACUGCUACUGUUCAUACAGGGUGUCGAGGUAUGAUGGAUCGGCGAUGUUUCGGCUUGUAAGCUGAUUUUUCCAGGAAGAUUUCGAGCUCUGGGGCGGAAGUAUGGACAUAGAAGGCAAGAAACUCGACAUGCCUCGACGUUCACAGGGCGGACUGAAAACUCCACGACGCUCUUGGGCUGGUUUGAGGCCUCCCGAAGUUUGAUCGCUUGUCCAGAUCGC
Molecule: long non-coding RNA, 1120 nt
Organism: Selaginella moellendorffii
Lineage: Eukaryota; Viridiplantae; Streptophyta; Lycopodiopsida; Selaginellales; Selaginellaceae
Exons: 7
Source: RefSeq, a predicted model, not a curated record